Molecule: long non-coding RNA, 337 nt
Organism: Photinus pyralis (common eastern firefly)
Lineage: Eukaryota; Metazoa; Arthropoda; Insecta; Coleoptera; Lampyridae
Exons: 3
Source: RefSeq, a predicted model, not a curated record
GUUGGUAGCGCGUGACGUUGUUCCUGUUUGCUUCUUUUGGCUGUCGUUCGCAGAUUGCAGCGAACGUUUCUUAAAUUAAAAUCGGAGUAUUUUUAAGCCAUCCUUGCCGUUGUAAGGUGCUUUUCAUCACAACUUUCUAAUAAUGAGAGCUAAGUGGAGGAAGAAGCGUAUGCGAAGGCUAAAGCGUAAACGCAGGAAGAUGCGUGCGAGGUCUAAGUAAACGGAUUUGAGGGUUUGGUCUUUCGUGCUCGACAUUCUGAACACCUUCAACACCCUUGUUUGCUAUUAUCAUACUUUUUGUAACUUACCACAAUUCCAAUAAAGAAUUGAAAAGUUA